AUGGCCACCUACCUCUCUGAUCUAAUUAGUGACCAUGCCCUCGACUUCUUAGAUUUACAGGAGACCAUGAAGAAAAACAUCUCCUCUAAAUGCUUGAGGAAGAUUGACCCUUUUAAUAUAUUUGAGUGGGUCCGGAUCCCCUCAAAUGGCAAGUCUGGUGGGAUUUUGGCUGGGGCCAGGAAAGGAAUUUUAGAUAUUGUUCAUAGCAAUAAUGGUAGAUAUAUGAUACAACUUGACUUGAAGGAUAUCAAUAAAAAGAGUGCUUGGAGUGUGUUGGUGGUGUAUGGGCCAGCUCAUGAAGAUAAACGGGAGGAGUUCCUGUCUGAACUCGCCCAAUUCUGCUCUACCAUGAAUAAGCCUUACAUUUUGGGAGGUGAUUUUAAUAUCUUGAGAAAUGGGGGAGAGAAGAAUAAGAAGGCCCAUAACCAUAGAUCCAUGGAUAUGUUUAACUCUGUUAUCUAUGCUUUUGGGCUGAGAAGAUUUUUUGCAGUGGUGGCAAGUACACCUAGACCAACAAUCAAUCCCAUCCCACUUUAG
This 537-nucleotide ribosomal RNA is filed under the name Triticum aestivum (bread wheat). RNAcentral describes it as "partial small subunit ribosomal RNA". Lineage: Eukaryota; Viridiplantae; Streptophyta; Magnoliopsida; Poales; Poaceae. The record is from RNAcentral.